GGGGGGGGACUGGAGAAGGAGAGGGGGAGGGCGAGAGGCAGUACAAAGAGAAUGGUACAGUAGAGACAUUCCUUACCAAGUCAGCUUUAAUAGCAUAGAGAGGACCACACACACACACACACACACACACAACGUAUCUGGAUGGAUAGAAGCAGCCUUCUGUACGGCCUAAUCAGGAAGCCCCAGUAGAACCUCAUCCAGGGGCUCGCCUGAGAAAUCCUCCCCAACGUUAGAGGCUUAGAGGGGGGAGAUUCAUUCCCCGUGGUCCCACACCACCCUUCAAGUUUCCAGUUUGAAUGUCAUGUGCACAAGUCCAGUGGAAUGCCCUUUCUUCCCAGCUCUAACCCCGACAACGCAGUAAUCAAUAUCACAUCCAUACAAAAAUAACAAGGUAGAACAAAAACACCCAAGAAAUAAGAAUAAUCUAUAUACAGGGUCAGUUCAGUACCAUAUUAACAAUGUGCAGGGAUACUGGAGUGAUGGAGGUAGAUAUGUAUAGUGAUGGAGGUAGAUAUGUAUAGGGGGAAGGGGCCAGGGAUACUGGAGUGAUGGAGGUAGAUAUGUAUAGGGGGAAGGGGGCAGGGAUACUGGAGUGAUGGAGGUAGAUAUGUAUAGUGAUGGAAGUAGAUAUGUAUAGGGGGAAGGAGACAGGGAUACUGGAGUGAUGGAGGUAGACAUGUAUAGGGGGAAGGAGACAGGGAUACUGGAGUGAUGGAGGUAGAUAUGUAUAGUGAUGGAGGUAGAUAUGUAUAGGGGGAAGGAGACAGGGAUACUGGAGUGAUGGAGGUAGAUAUGUAUAGGGGGAAGGGGCCAGGGAUACUGGAGUGAUGGAGGUAGAUAUGUAUAGGGGGAAGGAGACAGGGAUACUGGAGUGAUGGAGGUAGAUAUGGAUGUCUAUUUAAAACAGAUUGUUAUAUACAAGCAUUUCACUACACCCACAAUAACAUCUACUAAACACUUGUCUGUGACCAAUGAAAUUGUAUUUGAUUUAUUUAUAGGGGUAAGGGGACUAGGCAUCAGGAUAUAUGAUAAACCUAUUCCCCCUCAGGAAACUAAAAAGAUUUGGCAUGGGUCCUGAGAUCCUCAAAAGGUUCUACAGCUGCACCAUCGAGAGCAUCCUGGUUGCAUCACUGCCUCGUAUGGCAACUGCUCAGCCUCUGACCGCAAGGCAUUACAGAGGGUAGUGCGUACGGCCCAGUACAUCACCAGGGUCAAAACUCCUGCCAUCCACGACCUCUAUACCAGGCGGUGUCAGAGGAAGGCCCUAAAAAUUGUCAAAGACCCCAGGUACCCCAGUCAUAGACUGUUCUCUCUACUACCGCAUGGCAAGCGGUAUCGGUGCGCCAAGUCUAGGACAAAAAAGCUUCUCAACCAUUUUUAACCCCAAGACUCCUGAACAGGUAAUCAAAUGGACUAUUUGCAUUGUGUGUUAACAAAAAAAGGCUGUGAAAAAAAUGGCAUUGUUGUUUAUCUACUUGAUCGUACACAACAUUUAAUUAAAAUUGUUUCAAAGAAACAAAAACGCCAUGAAGAAAUCGGUAUUUUAUUCAAAAGCAUGUCACAAUUAUUGAAACCCCUGAAUU
Molecule: long non-coding RNA, 1583 nt
Organism: Oncorhynchus tshawytscha (Chinook salmon)
Lineage: Eukaryota; Metazoa; Chordata; Actinopteri; Salmoniformes; Salmonidae
Source: Ensembl